GAUCUUGGGUAACGUGGGCCCGCCGCUUGGUCAUCGUUAUCAACGACAACCAUAUUAUCAUUAGAGUCUUCGCUCGUUUUUUAGUUACUAGUAAUUAUUCUUGAAUUCAAUAUUCAUAAUAAUGUCAAUAUUGGUGUUGUACAACACUCCAAAAGUCCAUUAAUUAACUUUACUGUUGUGGUGCCGUACACCUUUGACAUUUUUUGGAUGGACAAGCAGUUGCUCGUUGACGCGAAGCAAAAAAUCCAAUUUCUUUUGGAACGCAAACAUUUUUAUAUCUUCUUUUGCUAGGACUGCGGCUCCUUGGUCUACGUGUAGUUCACGAGAGAUUUAUUCAUUCAUUCCAUGUGGUUCCAAUAUCUGGUAAAUAUUGUUUAGGACAUCACUUUCAUAUUAUUCACAUAACCUUUCCCAGUUCUAGGAUGUUUGUUAAGUUCUUCAACAUCCGGAUGUGUAUAUACAUGACGUGUUGAUGUGUCGAGUUUGCAAAUCGCGCUGUGAUACUAGCGGUGUUUGUCAUUUAUGUACGAGAUCACACCUGUGUAUAAUUAUUCCAUCAGGAAAAAUUGUGUAAUGUACAAUUAUCAAUAGACCAUCAAACAGAUUUUUUCCACCGUUCGUUAUCAAGAACAUUGGAGCAAAAAAUGAGUGAGCCUAAUUAACUGAAUGACUGAAUGGGUGAGUACAACAGUGGUGCCGACCAGAACAUAAUAACGGUGAAAAUAAAAAAUGAUAUAUUGAUGCUGUAAAACUUCCUACUUUGUAACAACAAGUUGAAAAUUAUUCAAUAUGCAGAAUGUAAUCUAUAAGAUUUAGUGAAUAAUUUACACAGUAACAAUGUGAUUAAUGAAGAUUUGGGAACUGUGGUUGACCAUAAUUUCAGCCGUAUUAUUCUGAAGUUUGUCUUACGUCACUGGUUAUAAUUUGGUUUUGGAGUACGUUUACAACCAUUCAACUGCCAUAUAGAUUCAAAUAAGUAAAUUGGCUCCCUCACCUCAACAAUGACCAACUAUGUAAACAACUAGUAUACAUUAUUCAAUUUUAUAUUAUAUAUCAUUUAUGAUAUGUAUUAAAUGCUGAAAUCCGCAAAAAUAUUUUAAAAAAAUAUCUUAACUGCUGCUUAUAAAAGAGCCUGCUAUCAUUUGAAGGAAAAUGAAUCAGUCAUGUAACAAAAUGCAUGUAAACAUAAAAUGUACAGACCACAAUCAGUGUUGCUUUGUUGUAAUUAAUCAUAAGUGUUUCACACCAUAAUGAUUAAGGAUAAGGAUCUUGCGCUAUCUGAUAAAACUAGACCGAUUU
Molecule: long non-coding RNA, 1299 nt
Organism: Acyrthosiphon pisum (pea aphid)
Lineage: Eukaryota; Metazoa; Arthropoda; Insecta; Hemiptera; Aphididae
Exons: 5
Source: RefSeq, a predicted model, not a curated record